CCCCUACCCAUGUGUAUAGGACCCCAAAGGAUCACCAUUAAAUUAGGUACAGAUCUCUAGAAAAGUUAUCACAUGAGUGUGGGACUUAAUUUUUUUAGUGAUCCGUGCUAAAUUUAAUGGUGAUCCUUUGGGGUCCUACACACAUGGGUGGGGG
Molecule: microRNA precursor, 154 nt
Filed under: Amborella trichopoda
Lineage: Eukaryota; Viridiplantae; Streptophyta; Magnoliopsida; Amborellales; Amborellaceae
Description: MIR8565 microRNA precursor family
Rfam family: MIR8565 microRNA precursor family
Source: Rfam by way of RNAcentral